This 692-nucleotide long non-coding RNA is filed under the name Chrysemys picta bellii (western painted turtle). RNAcentral describes it as "lncRNA (ENSCPBG00000023297.1)". The record is from RNAcentral. Lineage: Eukaryota; Metazoa; Chordata; Testudines; Emydidae.
UGAUUUAUAUUUUAAACUCAAAGUGACCACAUCCAACUAUUCUUUUUCCAGAUAACCCUCCAGAGUGCCAAAUUCCCAAUGGAACAAAUGUCAUAUGGCUCUACACAUAUGAGGUUCUCUUGGUUAAUAAAUGAAGACAGGAAAGAAAAAGAAAAGACAAAGAAACGGAAACACUGCCCACCACAGUCAUUAUUCUGGAGGAGUUGCAGGAUAUUCAACUUGUUUGGAAAUGGAGGGUCCAGGGGCAUGGGUCAAGGGCAGAGGCAUCUCAGCUUUCAUCCUGGGACUUCAGGACACAUUCUGGGUCAUGAUGAAGGAUUCAUCAAACCACUGUUUUGUGGUGGUAGGGGGAAUGCUUCCAAUGUGAAAGAGUGGAGCACACCAUUUAAAAGAAGGGUAGCGAUGGAGGGAAAAGAAAUUUCUGAAAUGAUCACAGAAAUAACAUGCAUUCAAGAAACAACAAAGGAGAAAAACAAUGAAAGUGGGAGUGCAUAUUUUACUGCAGCCCGAGGAUUUCAGUAGCUGAUGCAUUCACAGAAAGUCUCUUACAGUCUUACUGUCUUUUACUACAAUGCAAAUUUAUUCUGCCUGAGUAAUAACUACCACAAUACUGUCAUUCCCCAAUUACGUUGAUAUAGUCAGUCACACACUGCUGAAAUAAAGAGUCAGAAGCAGGAAAUAUGAUGUUUUUU